GGGGAUGUGGUUCAGUGGCAGAACAUCUGCCUGGCAUGCAGAAGAAGAAGAAGAAUAGUUUGGAUUUAUACCCCACCUUUCUCU
RNAcentral lists this transfer RNA (84 nucleotides) under Sphaerodactylus townsendi. Its description in RNAcentral is "tRNA-Ala". It matches the Rfam family "tRNA". From Rfam's summary of the family: Transfer RNA (tRNA) molecules are approximately 80 nucleotides in length. Their secondary structure includes four short double-helical elements and three loops (D, anti-codon, and T loops). Lineage: Eukaryota; Metazoa; Chordata; Lepidosauria; Squamata; Sphaerodactylidae. The record is from RNAcentral.